RNAcentral lists this ribosomal RNA (216 nucleotides) under Campeiostachys nutans. RNAcentral's name for it is "Elymus nutans partial small subunit ribosomal RNA". It matches the Rfam family "Eukaryotic small subunit ribosomal RNA", at positions 651 to 864 of the family's 1831-position model. The record is from RNAcentral. Lineage: Eukaryota; Viridiplantae; Streptophyta; Magnoliopsida; Poales; Poaceae.
GGGUUAGUAGGUUGGUCAUGCCUCUGGUAUGUACUGAUCUCACUGAUUCCUCCCUUCUGAUGAACCGUUAUACCAUUUAGUUGGUGUUGCGGGGAAUUUGGACUGUUACUUUGAAAAAAUUAGAGUGUUUAAAGCAAGCUAACGCUUGAAUACAUUAGCAUGGAAUAAUGAAAUAGGACGUUCGAUCCUAUUUUGUUGGUUUCUAGGAUUGACGUA